CCCUUAGAUGUUCUGGGCUGCACACGUGCUACACUGGCAGGUUCAGCGAGCUUCAUGCCCUGAUCUGAAAGGAAUGGGAAAUCUUUUCAAAACCUGCCGUGCUUGGGAUAGAUGUUUGCAAUUAUUCAUCUUCAACGAGGAUUGCCUUGUAAGCGCACGUCAUCAGCGUGCAUUGAAUACGACCCUGUAUUCUGUACACACCGCCCGUCGCUCCUACCGAUUGAAGUUUUCGGUGAGUUGACAGGAGGAUUUUUUUGAAACUGGUUCGCCAGUGGAUUUUAGAUCCAAAUGCCAACGAACCGAUGGCUUUAGAGGAAGGAGAAGUCGUAACA
This 332-nucleotide ribosomal RNA is filed under the name uncultured eukaryote. RNAcentral describes it as "partial 18S ribosomal RNA". It matches the Rfam family "Eukaryotic small subunit ribosomal RNA", at positions 1470 to 1796 of the family's 1831-position model. The record is from RNAcentral.